UACGGGAGGCAGCAGUAGGGAAUAUUGGACAAUGGGGGCAACCCUGAUCCAGCAAUGCCGCGUGAGUGAUGAAGGCCUUAGGGUUGUAAAGCUCUUUUACCCGAGAUGAUAAUGACAGUAUCGGGAGAAUAAGCUCCGGCUAACUCCGUGCCAGCAGCCGCGGUAAU
RNAcentral lists this ribosomal RNA (167 nucleotides) under uncultured bacterium. Its description in RNAcentral is "partial 16S ribosomal RNA". It matches the Rfam family "Bacterial small subunit ribosomal RNA", at positions 340 to 524 of the family's 1533-position model. The record is from RNAcentral. RNAcentral also lists the same sequence under 1 other name.